GAAUCUACUGGAAGUAGGACCAAAGAGGGUGAUAGUCCCGUAUAGGUAAGUUAAGUUAUUGAUAGUGGUAUCCUGAGUAGUGCGGGGCACGUGAAACCUUGCAUGAAUUCGCCGGGACCAUCCGGUAAGGCUAAAUACUCCUGAGAGACCGAUAGUGAACCAGUACCGUGAGGGAAAGGUGAAAAGAACCCUGAAUAAGGGAGUGAAAUAGAUCCUGAAACCAUACGCUUACAAGCGGUCGGAGCAGACUUGAUCUGUGACGGCGUGCCUUUUGCAUAAUGAGCCUACGAGUUACCGUUACUAGCAUGGUUAAUCGAUUCAGUCGAGGAUCCGAAGCGAAAGCGAGUCUGAAUAGGGCGAAUAAGUUAGUAGUGGUAGACGCGAAACCGAGUGAUCUACCCAUGAGCAGGUUGAAGCUUUGUUAACCCAAAGUGGAGGACCGAACCCGUUGACGUUGAAAAGUCUUGGGAUGACUUGUGGGUAGGGGUGAAAGGCCAAUCAAACUCGGAAAUAGCUCGUACUCCCCGAAAUGCAUUUAGGUGCAGCGUUGUAAAAGUUAUAUAGAGGUAGAGCUACUGAUUGGAUGCGGGGGCUUCACCGCCUACCAAUUCCUGACAAACUCCGAAUGCUAUAUAAUGAUUUACAGCAGUGAGGGCAUGGGUGCUAAGGUCCAUGUCCGAGAGGGAAAGAACCCGGACCAUCAGCUAAGGUCCCCAAGUGUAUACUAAGUUGAAUAAACGAGGUUUGACUGCCCAGACAGCUAGGAUGUUGGCUUGGAAGCAGCCAUUCAUUUAAAGAGUGCGUAACAGCUCACUAGUCGAGCGGUCAAGCAUGGAUAAUAAUCGGGCAUAAGUAUACCACCGAAGCUAUGGCUUCAUACGUAAGUAUGAGGGGUAGGGGAGCAUUCUAUGGGCGUUGAAGGUGAACUGCGAGGUUUGCUGGAGCGUAUAGAAAAGAAAAUGUAGGCAUAAGUAACGACAAUGCGGGCGAGAAACCCGCACACCGAAAGACUAAGGUUUCCUCAGCUAUGCUAAUCAGCUGAGGGUUAGUCGGGACCUAACGCGAACCCGAAAGGGGUAGUGGAUGGACAACCAGUUAAUAUUCUGGUACCUGCCGGCGCUAAACGUGACGGAGGGGAGUAGUUAUUGCGUACUGACGGAAUAGUACGUUGAAGCAACCGUUAAGGUUGUGAUAGUACACCAAGGCUUCGGCUGCGGUGAUAAUAUAGCGAAUCCACUUCCAAGAAAAGCAAGCCAGGCAGCCCGUACCGCAAACCGACACAGGUAGUUGGGAUGAGAAUUCUAAGGUGCUCGAGAGAUUCAUGGCUAAGGAACUAGGCAAAAUCGGCCCGUAACUUCGGGAGAAGGGUCGCCAGCAGUAAUGCUGGCCGCAGUGAAGAGAUCCAGGCGACUGUUUAUCAAAAACACAGGACUCUGCUAAGUUGAAAGACGAUGUAUAGGGUCUGACACCUGCCCGGUGCCGGAAGGUUAAGUGGAGAUGUUAGCUUCGGCGAAGCAUUGAAAUGAAGCCCCGGUAAACGGCGGCCGUAACUAUAACGGUCCUAAGGUAGCGAAAUUCCUUGUCGGGUAAGUUCCGACCUGCACGAAUGGUGUAACGAUCUGGACACUGUCUCAGCCAUGAGCUCGGUGAAAUUGUAGUAUCGGUGAAGAUGCCGAUUACCCGCUACGGGACGAAAAGACCCCGUGCACCUUUACUAUAGCUUCGUAUUGACCUUGGAUAAGUAAUGUGUAGGAUAGGUGGGAGACAUUGAAGCGGCGUCGCCAGGCGUUGUGGAGUCAUUGUUGAAAUACCACCCUUUGCUUAUCUAGGGCCUAAUCCCCAACGGGAAACAGUGCGUGGUGGGUAGUUUGACUGGGGUGGUCGCCUCCAAAAGAGUAACGGAGGCUUCUAAAGGUACCCUCAGCACGCUUGGUAACCGUGCGUAGAGUGCAAUGGCAUAAGGGUGCUUGACUGAGAGACCUACAAGUCGAUCAGGUUGGAAACAAGAGCAUAGUGAUCCGGUGGUUCCGUAUGGAAGGGCCAUCGCUCAAAGGAUAAAAGGUACGCCGGGGAUAACAGGCUGAUCUCCCCCAAGAGCUCACAUCGACGGGGGGGUUUGGCACCUCGAUGUCGGCUCGUCACAUCCUGGGGCUGGAGA
This 2158-nucleotide ribosomal RNA is filed under the name marine metagenome. Its description in RNAcentral is "bacterial LSU rRNA". It matches the Rfam family "Bacterial large subunit ribosomal RNA", at positions 335 to 2559 of the family's 2925-position model. The record is from RNAcentral.